Molecule: long non-coding RNA, 1713 nt
Organism: Cyprinus carpio carpio
Lineage: Eukaryota; Metazoa; Chordata; Actinopteri; Cypriniformes; Cyprinidae
Source: Ensembl
GGCAGUUUUAUUAUGCUUGAAAUUCUCUGUUUGUUGUACAUUGAUAUAUACAGUAGUAUCCGAUGAGCUGACUGUUAUCACUUUAAUUCAUAAAAUCCAAGGCAAAAUACAUGCAGAAUAAAGAACUACAAAUAACAAAGAAUGAAGUUAUUUACAUAUUGUCUAUUUUUAGGAUGUUAAAGAAUGUCAACACAGAAUCUACCAUUUUUGUCAGUGAACACAGAUGAAGUUAAUCAUGCAAAUGUAAAUCUAUAAAAAACAUCUGCUUGCCACAAAAACAACAAUAACAACAAAAAAACAUUACAUAUACUGUAUUGUACUCCAAGUAAUGCCAUUGUAUGAUUUAUUUCUCAAGUAAUAUUUUAAAGUAAAGUAAUUUUUUACGUAAUGAAUUUAUGUGAAUACGUGAAUAUAAUGAUUUCAUUUAAUCUUUAGUCUUUAAAAAUGCAUAUGAAGAUAUUUCAACAGACUAUGUUGCAGUUUUCUGGAGUGCGGUCAUAACUUUUACUGCAAUGUUGGAGGAAACAUUGAGACCCCUUCAUGAUCAUGUAUUAAUACACAUUCUCUUUCUUUUUCUACACAUGAAGUGAUUCUGAUCAUUUCUUUGUCUGCAUGUAUGAGAAAUCUAUAGGAGUGGCAUAUAGUACUGCUUGUGGUCAGGUAUUGCUUUAUGAGAUGGUCUAGACAUGCUAUCAAACCAUGACAUGUGGGCUUCUCUUUCUGCAGCCAGACUUUUUUGUUCAGUAAACCCUCAGCAGUGAGGUUCUCUAGCUUUAACUGACAUUUCGUUUCCACAGUUGCACAUGGACCACUAAAUUGAGUGGCAUAUGUGACUGAGAACCUGUUGCAUUUGAUGUGCAAUCUUAUCAGAACCUCUUUAGUAACAGCUUCUUGUGCCUGUGUAAAACAGGAUUUAAUCUCAUCCUGGCAGGAGUGGUUGAAAAAGUGCCUGGCCUCAAUUAAAGACGUUUUGAUUUUUUCACCACACUGGUUGCCUAUAAAGACAUUGACAUAGGUUUGGUUGUUUUCUGAUGUUACAGUAAAAACUUGCGAGGGAUUCUGACCAAUUUGUACACAAAAGUAAUUUCCUUUGACUAGCAAUUUGGAGUACGGUUUUAGAGGAUGGUCUCUAAUGAAUCUCUCAGCAAAUUCCAAGUUGGAGAGAAGGGUGUUGUCUGUUAAGUUCUUUUCCUUCAGUUCAUGCAUCACAGACAUUAUGCUUUCUGUGUCAGGUAGAAAACUGGGGUAACAGCUUGGAAGGAAGGAAAGAAAGAAAGAAAGAAAGAAAGAAAGAAAGAAAGAAAGAAAGAAAGAAAGAAAGAAAGAAAGAAAAAGAAAGAAAGAAAGAAAAUUUAUACAUUUAAUUAAAGUUUAAUUUCUUCCUCCAUAUCAAUAGCAAUGUACUUACAAUGACGUUUCCAUUGAGAAGGAGGAUGGGUUUCUCCGGCAGACCAAAAAUUUUUCAGAAUGAUCCAACUGUCAUCAGAUACAUUCAUUUAUGAAAAAUAAUGUACAGUCAUUAUCUCAAAUAUACUUUUAUAACCCUGAAGUGAUCAAAUUAAACAAUCACAUUCAUUACACUGUAUAUAGCAGAAUGUUUCUGUCUUUCAGUUACAACCUUUUCAGAUUAUAUAACGGAUUAGAUAUAAUUUGAAGGGUGUGCAAACAAAAAUUACAGAGGUCCAUUUGUAGGGAACUUUUCAAAAAUAUAUC